GAUGAGUUCUCCCUGAGACUAUAAGUCUCCUGAAGGAACGUUGAAGACGACGACGUUGAUAGGCCGGGUGUGUAAGCGCAGCGAUGCGUUGAGCUAACCGGUACUAAUGAACCGUGAGGCUUAACCUUACAACGCCAAAGAAGU
RNAcentral lists this ribosomal RNA (144 nucleotides) under Cronobacter sakazakii. Its description in RNAcentral is "partial 23S ribosomal RNA". The stretch from base 1 to 128 matches the Rfam family "Bacterial large subunit ribosomal RNA", at positions 2803 to 2925 of the family's 2925-position model. The record is from RNAcentral. Lineage: Bacteria; Pseudomonadati; Pseudomonadota; Gammaproteobacteria; Enterobacterales; Enterobacteriaceae.